Molecule: ribosomal RNA, 704 nt
Filed under: uncultured bacterium
Lineage: Bacteria
Description: bacterial SSU rRNA
Rfam family: Bacterial small subunit ribosomal RNA
Source: RNAcentral
UUCCNUUUUNNUUUUUUUCUUGGGGGUUGUGGCCUUGNGCCGUGGCUUUCGGAGCUAACGCAUUAAGUAGACCGCCUGGGGAGUACGGUCGCAAGAUUAAAACUCAAAUGAAUUGACGGGGGCCCGCACAAGCGGUGGAGCAUGUGGUUUAAUUCGAUGCAACGCGAAGAACCUUACCUACUCUUGACAUCCAGAGAAGCUUGAAGAGAUUCGAGUGUGCCUUCGGGAACUCUGAGACAGGUGCUGCAUGGCUGUCGUCAGCUCGUGUUGUGAAAUGUUGGGUUAAGUCCCGCAACGAGCGCAACCCUUAUCCUUGUUUGCCAGCACUUCGGGUGGGAACUCCAGGGAGACUGCCGGUGAUAAACCGGAGGAAGGUGGGGACGACGUCAAGUCAUCAUGGCCCUUACGAGUAGGGCUACACACGUGCUACAAUGGUAUAUACAGAGGGCAGCAAGACCGCGAGGUGGAGCGAAUCCCAGAAAGUAUGUCGUAGUCCGGAUCGGAGUCUGCAACUCGACUCCGUGAAGUCGGAAUCGCUAGUAAUCGUGGAUCAGAAUGCCACGGUGAAUACGUUCCCGGGCCUUGUACACACCGCCCGUCACACCAUGGGAGUGGGCUGCACCAGAAGUAGAUAGCUUAACCUUCGGGAGGGCGUUUACCACGGUGUGGUUCAUGACUGGGGUGAAGUCGUAACAAGGUAGCCG